GCGUAAUACCGGAUAAUAUAUUGAACCGCAUGGUUCAAUAGUGAAAGACGGUUUUGCUGUCACUUAUAGAUGGAUCCGCGCCGCAUUAGCUAGUUGGUAAGGUAACGGCUUACCAAGGCAACGAUGCGUAGCCGACCUGAGGAGGGUGAUCGGCCACACUGGAACUGAGACACGGUCCAG
This 180-nucleotide ribosomal RNA is filed under the name uncultured Staphylococcus sp. Its description in RNAcentral is "partial 16S ribosomal RNA". It matches the Rfam family "Bacterial small subunit ribosomal RNA", at positions 161 to 334 of the family's 1533-position model. Lineage: Bacteria; Bacillati; Bacillota; Bacilli; Caryophanales; Staphylococcaceae. The record is from RNAcentral.